Molecule: non-coding RNA, 357 nt
Filed under: Arabidopsis thaliana (thale cress)
Lineage: Eukaryota; Viridiplantae; Streptophyta; Magnoliopsida; Brassicales; Brassicaceae
Source: RNAcentral
GAACCUUCAGAUUUCAGAUUUGAUUAGGGUUUUAGCGUCUUCGGACCAGGCUUCAUUCCCCCCAAUUGUUGCUCCCUGUUUACUCCAUAUUUCUUCCUUCUUUUCAAAUUAGGGUUUCAGAUCCAGUGAAUGAACCCUUGUUAAAGGUUUGAUUUCUUACCUUACUUACUCAGAUUCAUUUACCUGCGUUAUUGAUUGUUUGCAUGGAAAGAAAUAGUUUUCUUUUUUAAAUAGGUCUUUGGGGACCGAUAGAAAAAAAAAGUUUUCAGGUAUUUGCAGAUUGGUGUAAUGAUGAAAGAAUCUGACUUUCUUUCUCCUCUUGGAAUUUGAAAAGUUUCAUCAUGACAAACUUUUUAU